Molecule: unclassified non-coding RNA, 312 nt
Filed under: Hevea brasiliensis (rubber tree)
Lineage: Eukaryota; Viridiplantae; Streptophyta; Magnoliopsida; Malpighiales; Euphorbiaceae
Source: RNAcentral
GCCCCAGAUCCUGUUGCAGCACCUACAGAAAAAAUAGAGAAAUUUAUUCAGACAGCAAGCACAGAAAAGUGAAAUUACAAAUAAAUAGCAACAUUGUUACAAUUUGGAGUGGAAGACAACUGCCACUCGCUAAAAUAAAUCUAUUUGUUUAUAGUAUCUUUAUAAUACUUGGAAUAGAUUAUGAAUGUCAACAAGUUGAAAAAAUCUCUCAUCACAAUAGCCUAGUGAUGUAAAACCAACAGAACAAAGGGGAAGGGAAACAAAUUCUUGAUAUUAUUAAUUCUUAAAUCAAUUGUCAAUCAUAGAAAAGAU